UAGGGAAUCUUCCACAAUGGACGCAAGUCUGAUGGAGCAACGCCGCGUGAGUGAGGAAGGCCUUCGGGUCGUAAAGCUCUGUUGCCAGGGAAGAACGCAUGGGAGAGUAACUGCUCCCGUGGUGACGGUACCUGAGAAGAAAGCCCCGGCUAACUACGUGCCAGCAGCCGCGGUAAUACGUAGGGGGCAAGCGUUGUCCGGAAUUAUUGGGCGUAAAGCGCGCGCAGGCGGUUCUUUAAGUCUGGUGUCUAAGUGCGGGGCUCAACCCCGUGAUGCACUGGAAACUGGGGAACUUGAGUGCAGAAGAGGAGAGCGGAAUUCCACGUGUAGCGGUGAAAUGCGUAGAGAUGUGGAGGAACACCAGUGGCGAAGGCGGCUCUCUGGACUGUAACUGACGCUGAGGCGCGAAAGCGUGGGGAGCAAACAGGAUUAGAUACCCCCGUAGUCC
This 448-nucleotide ribosomal RNA is filed under the name uncultured bacterium. RNAcentral describes it as "bacterial SSU rRNA". It matches the Rfam family "Bacterial small subunit ribosomal RNA", at positions 355 to 796 of the family's 1533-position model. The record is from RNAcentral.